Long non-coding RNA from Siniperca chuatsi (mandarin fish), 709 nucleotides. RefSeq lists it as uncharacterized. Lineage: Eukaryota; Metazoa; Chordata; Actinopteri; Centrarchiformes; Sinipercidae. The transcript is spliced from 2 exons. The record is from RefSeq and is a predicted model, not a curated record.
UAGAUAAGGAAUAGGAGAUUUCACAUUAGGAUUAAACCCCAUAGGUUUUUGAAAUCAAAUAUUUUUAUUCAAUAAAACUGCAGAUAGGCAUUAAAUAAAAAAAGGAUUUGUUAACCAAUCAAACUUGUUAAUGGUAGGUUGGAAAAAGAAAACAUUUAGCUCUGUGGUUGUCAAUUCUUGAGCAUUGACACCUUAGUGUUUGCAGAUAAUUUCAAAUUGCUGCUCUAGAUUUUGUUUGGCAUGGAAAGCUGCAUAUUAAUUUUUGCACAGGACUGGAAAACCAAGAUUCCAGUGUACAAAAUAAAAUUAGUCAUUUGCAUAUUUUGAUUACCACUUAGAGGAAGUUCUGGCAGGCUAUCAUCAGAACCGGAAAACAACACACAGGUCACCUGCUGAUUUGACAACACGCCAACAUCAGACUCACACCCAUCUACGAACCAGUGAAUUGCAAGUUUAGGGAGAGACAGCUCAUGUAGGUUAUGACGACAGGACGUAGGCACUCCUUGAUGUCGUUCAUCUCUUCCUGGUAGUCUUGGAUCAUCUUCUCCACCUUCUUGCGGUCCGUCUUUGAAUGGACUGUGUCUGUGAUGUUGGCUGAAGCCGAUGCUACCCCACCUGCCGUAGCUACACCAAUGCCUACAGCUGUGACGAUGAGCGACGUUCCUGCUGUGAAGGGUGCCAGAAUGAGGCCGGUGAUAGUAGUUAUAGA